AGCGAACGCUGGCGGCAGGCCUAACACAUGCAAGUCGAACGAACCUUUCGGGGUUAGUGGCGGACGGGUGAGUAACACGUGGGAACGUGCCUUUAGGUUCGGAAUAACUCAGGGAAACUUGUGCUAAUACCGAAUGUGCCCUUCGGGGGAAAGAUUAAUCGCCUUUAGAGCGGCCCGCGUCUGAUUAGCUAGUUGGUUGAGGUAAUGGCUCACCAAGGCGACGAUCAGUAGCUGGUCUGAGAGGAUGCUCAGCCACAUUGGGACUGAGACACGGCCCAAACUCCUACGGGAGGCAGCAGUGGGGAAUCUUGCGCAAGGGGCGAAAGCGUGACGAAGCCAUGCCGCGUGAAUGAUGAAGGUCUUAGGAUUGUAAAAUUCUUUCACCGGGGACGAUAAUGACGGUACCCGGAGAAGAAGCCCCGGCUAACUUCGUG
This 434-nucleotide ribosomal RNA is filed under the name uncultured bacterium. Its description in RNAcentral is "partial 16S ribosomal RNA". It matches the Rfam family "Bacterial small subunit ribosomal RNA", at positions 29 to 507 of the family's 1533-position model. The record is from RNAcentral.